AGUACGUGUGUGUGUGUGUGUGUGUGUAUUUAUAUAUAUAUAUAUAUAUACAUACACACACAUAUAUAUGCACAUGUACA
This 80-nucleotide microRNA precursor is filed under the name Podarcis lilfordi (Lilford's wall lizard). The record is from RNAcentral. Lineage: Eukaryota; Metazoa; Chordata; Lepidosauria; Squamata; Lacertidae.